UCCCGCUUAUCACGGGCAGUUUCCUUAGAGUUCCCAGCAUUACCUGAUGGCAACUAAGGACGAGGGUUGCGCUCGUUGCGGGACUUAACCCAACAUCUCACGACACGAGCUGACGACAGCCAUGCAGCACCUGUGUUCCAGCCACCCUAGGUGAAGGAAUUCAUCUCUGGAAUCCAAACUGGACAUGUCAAGGCCUGGUAAGGUUCUUCGCGUUGCCUCGAAUUAAACCACAUGCUCCACCGCUUGUGCGGGUCCCCGUCAAUUUCUUUGAGUUUUAACCUUGCGACCGUACUCCCCAGGCGGAUGACUUCACGCGUUAGCUGCGUUACUAAGGGAUUUAACUCCCCCAACAACUAGUCAUCAUCGUUUAGGGCGUGGACUAC
Molecule: unclassified non-coding RNA, 383 nt
Filed under: uncultured Rickettsiales bacterium
Lineage: Bacteria; Pseudomonadati; Pseudomonadota; Alphaproteobacteria; Rickettsiales
Description: contains 16S-23S intergenic spacer region
Source: RNAcentral